UAAGGAAUAUUGCUCAAUGGGAGAAAUCCUGAAGCAGCAACGCCGCGUGGAGGAUGAAGGGUCUAUGACUUGUAAACUCCUGUAAAGAAGGAAAAAAUUCCCAUUAGAUGGGAGAUGAUGGUACUUCUGGAGUAAGCCCCGGCUAACUACGUGCCAGCAGCCGCGGUAAUACGUAGGGGGCAAGCGUUGUCCGGAUUUACUGGGUGUAAAGGGUGCUCAGGCGGAUUUGUAAGUCAGAGGUGAAAUCUUACAGCUUAACUGUGAAACUGCCUUUGAUACUGCAAGCCUAGAGUAUGGAAGAGAGCGAUGGAAUAUCAGGUGUAGCAGUGAAAUGCGUAGAUAUCAGAUAGAACACCAAUGGCGAAGGCAGUCACUUGGUCCAUUACUGACGCUAAAGCACGAAAGCGUGGGUAGCAAACA
This 420-nucleotide ribosomal RNA is filed under the name uncultured bacterium. RNAcentral describes it as "bacterial SSU rRNA". It matches the Rfam family "Bacterial small subunit ribosomal RNA", at positions 355 to 774 of the family's 1533-position model. The record is from RNAcentral.